CUCACUACUGCACUUGACUAGUCUUU
RNAcentral lists this non-coding RNA (26 nucleotides) under Callithrix jacchus (white-tufted-ear marmoset). RNAcentral also lists the same sequence under 4 other names. Lineage: Eukaryota; Metazoa; Chordata; Mammalia; Primates; Cebidae. The record is from RNAcentral.